Molecule: ribosomal RNA, 433 nt
Filed under: uncultured bacterium
Lineage: Bacteria
Description: partial 16S ribosomal RNA
Rfam family: Bacterial small subunit ribosomal RNA
Source: RNAcentral
AACGAACGCUGGCGGCAUGCCUAACACAUGCAAGUCGAACGAGACCUUCGGGUCUAGUGGCGCACGGGUGCGUAACGCGUGGGAACCUGCCCUUAGGUUCGGAAUAACUCCCCGAAAGGGGUGCUAAUACCGGAUAAUGUCUUCGGACCAAAGAUUUAUCGCCUUUGGAUGGGCCCGCGUUGGAUUAGCUAGUUGGUAGGGUAAAAGCCUACCAAGGCGACGAUCCAUAGCUGGUCUGAGAGGAUGAUCAGCCACACUGGGACUGAGACACGGCCCAGACUCCUACGGGAGGGAGCAGUGGGGAAUAUUGGACAAUGGGCGAAAGACUGAUCCAGCAAUGCCGAGUGAGUGAUGAAGGACUUAGGGUUGUAAAGCUCUUUUACCCGGGAUGAUAAUGACAGUACCGGGAGAAUAAGCUCCGGCUAACUCCGUG